GCCGGGGAAAUAUACAUAAAUUGAAAUAAAAUUGUUUUUUACCCACUCCAAGUCCUUCAUGUAGGAGAAUUUGUCCUACUCAAUGUUCAGGAAUUUCUAGGUUGAUACAAUGAUAUCAUGGAUUGCAACAUCGUACGAGGGAAUAUUACUUGAAUAGGAUACAUGAUCCUAAAGUGAAAGUGAACGUUACAUCUUUUUUCAACAUUCAUUUUAUGGAUUCAAGGAAUCUCUUCACGAAAAAUCGGCUUCGCUGUAGCGAACAGCCCGAAUCAUUGAAACAAAAAUCGAUUGUAUUUUCAUUUUUCCAAUUUGCAUGUGUAUGGAUGCGAGGGUUUGGAACUGUCCGUAGGCGUAAAGUCAGGGCAGAUAAGUGUAUUGGAUGUUGUACACUUGCCUCAAGGCGCGGAUUACAUCCAUGGUCACGGGUUUGGGCUGACAUGAGUUACCUGAUGACCGGACUAGAUAAAUGGCACAGUGGCCCCAUUUGAUAAAUUAGAUGUACUUGUAGUUUGAUUCUAUGUUAUAUAUCGGAACAUAAACAACUUCUAACCUAACGAUCAGUACCCUUGAACUAAUAAAGAACACAUCAUGGCUCGUGCUGCUGUCUUUAUAGUUUUUUGUGCUUUCGCGCUCGUGGUUUCGCAAGCUGGAAACAUCCGCAAUAUCAUUCUCAACGAGGAUGACCUUGUUGGCACUUGCACUGGUACCUGUUCCACGGUCCAUACAGUUUAUAACACGAAAGGAUGUAGGAAACUAAGUGGCUGUCGUCUCAGCUCGUAUGGAUGGAAUAGGGACUUUGUGCGUUGUGACUUCUGCUCGUGCCGCUGCGAAAUGGACACGACCAAUAAAGAUUACAUCGUUGAGAGAAAGAGGCUGAGUACUAACGAGGACGAAAUUUAUGGGACAUGCACCGGUGUAUGUCGCAAAUGGGGAUUGGUGAGGACUAACCUAAAGGGCUGCCAAGAAAUUUGGGACUGCGAAAGAGAGGCAUAUGGUUGGGUCCGUGGCUUCGUCAGGUGCAACUACUGCACGUGCUGGUGUGUUAAUCGAAAGUACUCUCAGAGGUACAGGAUGAAGAAUAUGAAGUACGAUCUCAGUGACAUGAGUAUCAAAAGGGGUCAACUGAGCGGUCUGUAUGAAACUACCUUAGAGAACGACAGCAAUAGUACUCAGACUGUGACGCGCGUCGUCACUUACAGCCAUCGCCGGACGACGGAAAUGUCUACCAGUCAUUCGAUGGGAUAUGGGUUAACUGUAUCUGUCGAGGCAACAAUUGGGAUGAAUGUGAUUGGUGUUUCAACCUCGAUAUCUAACCAGCUGACCUUUGGUUUCCAACACACGAUCGGGAGGAGCAACAUCACCACCAAGGAGGACAAGAUACAAGCAUCCGUCGUUGUGCCGCCUCGUUCCUCGUUGAAAGCCACCAUUUUCGGGCACCGCUUGCACGUUGAUAUACCGUUUUCUUGCGAUCUUGUAACGACGUAUGGUGACGGAAGUACACGCACCAAGGCUAUUACAGGGGUCUAUACGAAUGUUGACACCGGACGAUUCACGGUGAAGUACGGGGCAGCGCAACCAAUUAAGCUCAAAUUCAAGUAAUUUUCGAGCUAGCAAGUGACUCGAAGCCACGCAACGACAGUCCUCCUGUCGCCGAGCGCAGACUGGCAUCGAAUAUGAAUAUGAAUUAUGAAUCGCUUUAUCCCUGAAAUGAUGUAUGUAGACAUCUUUUUUCGUGUGCUAUCAAUGGCUGUAUGUUGGUUAUCUUAUAGUAUAUAUCUAAAAUCUUCUUGUGAAUGAACUCAAUUAAAUUUUUUGAAUGGUGUGUUUGCCAUAAGUCGUCACUAUGUGGAUCCGAUGGCAGAAAGGUAUCUUUAUUGAAAGAUACUCCAGUGGAUCCCAGCAAAGUCAACAUUUUUAUAAACCUGUUUUAUUUGUAAUAUUUCUCUGAAAAAUAUGAUAUUGUAAUUAGAAUUCUGAUACUCGUCCAGUAACACCCACGUACGAAUUUUUAUAAGAUAGGGCCAGAAAAAAAAUUGGUAAAUCGUCUUGUGCGAACUUAAAGCUCAAAUAUAUGUGUGCUUACUCCUAACUCGAGGUACAUUUCAUAUGUUUUCAUUAAUAAUAAAAGAUCAAUUUAGCAUGCUCACAUAAAAGCUGAAUAUAAAUAUCAA
Lineus longissimus is the source of this 2171-nucleotide long non-coding RNA. RefSeq lists it as uncharacterized. The record is from RefSeq and is a predicted model, not a curated record. The transcript is spliced from 2 exons. NCBI's taxonomy places the organism in Eukaryota, Metazoa, Nemertea, Pilidiophora, Heteronemertea, Lineidae.